Non-coding RNA from Pantherophis guttatus, 1006 nucleotides. Lineage: Eukaryota; Metazoa; Chordata; Lepidosauria; Squamata; Colubridae. The record is from RefSeq and is a predicted model, not a curated record.
CCGUGAUCUUGACUGUAUCUCUCUGUUAAUGCAACUUAAGGAUUGCGUUGGCUUUUUCAAGUUCCACAUUGAGACGGUGCCAGAUUUCUGGUGUGUAAAAAAAAAAAAAACGGCAGUGAUAAGCUACGGCUAAACCCAAUCCGGCUGAAAGGAAGUAUGAUCACCAGCCAACUCCUCCAGCGUGUGAAAAAGCCAGCGUGGUUGCAAAAGGAACAGAGCCUUUUCAGAUGGCUUUGUGAUUUAUCCGAGGAUUGAUAUCUUUCACCUUUCUGCUGAAGAGGAGGCCUUCGCUGUCAUAAAUCAAGUCGGGAGACUGAGUCGACAAAGCUCACAGCUCUUAGCCUAGCAAGGCAGGGAAAACUGCAGUUAGAGCACAUAGCCAAGUGACUGUGGAAAUGGAGUAGACGGGUCUACGAAAGGAGAAACCAGCUCGGGGAGAUAGCAGUUUGAAAACGACGAUAAAAAUGGAUCCAAGAGGCAACUCUGGAAGAAACAGUUAACACCCUGGUCCGUUGGAAGAAACAAGCCAGCAAAAUUAAACUUCCCUUCAUCAGAACUCCGGGAAAUUCUAUACUUCGCCCAGCAGGAAACUCUCUGCAAAGCAGGACGUUUCCAUUUAGAGUCUGUGCAUUCUGCAAGCACCCUGCUUUUUUCACCGCUGCCGACAGAGAACCUGAAAAUAAUUCACUCCAAGCGAAAGAAGAAGAAGGAGGGGAGGAGAAAUGCAGGCACAGCAGAACACAGAAGUUUAGAAGACCUUUUCCUACGCACGCGGGGAUCCAUCUUGAUCGAUAUUUCCAGAUGUUGCCUAGCACGAUCUUAUCUUCCGUGACCAAAGCCAACUCAUCCGUCUCGCAGCAACCGCACGAGAUAACCACAGCCGGAAUAUUUUAACAUAAUGCAACCACAGGCUCGUGCCAGUUUUCAUCUGCUCGGAGAGGUUCUUGGCCACGGUACAGAUUUCGACGACUUAAAAGAGGGGGGGGUCGUCGUGGUUUGCAGUGGA